RNAcentral lists this ribosomal RNA (525 nucleotides) under uncultured bacterium. RNAcentral's name for it is "bacterial SSU rRNA". It matches the Rfam family "Bacterial small subunit ribosomal RNA", at positions 1 to 525 of the family's 1533-position model. The record is from RNAcentral.
GACAGAGUUUGAUCAUGGCUCAGAUUGAACGCUGGCGGCAUGCCUUACACAUGCAAGUCGAACGGCAGCACGGGGGCAACCCUGGUGGCGAGUGGCGAACGGGUGAGUAAUACAUCGGAACGUGUCCUGUAGUGGGGGAUAGCCCGGCGAAAGCCGGAUUAAUACCGCAUACGAUCUACGGAAGAAAGCGGGGGACCGAAAGGCCUCGCGCUAUAGGGGCGGCCGAUGGCAGAUUAGCUAGUUGGUGGGGUAAAGGCCUACCAAGGCGACGAUCUGUAGCUGGUCUGAGAGGACGACCAGCCACACUGGGACUGAGACACGGCCCAGACUCCUACGGGAGGCAGCAGUGGGGAAUUUUGGACAAUGGGGGCAACCCUGAUCCAGCAAUGCCGCGUGUGUGAAGAAGGCCUUCGGGUUGUAAAGCACUUUUGUCCGGAAAGAAAACUUCUGGGUUAAUACCCUGGGAGGCUGACGGUACCGGAAGAAUAAGCACCGGUUAACUACGUGCCAGCAGCCGCGGUAAUA